Molecule: ribosomal RNA, 410 nt
Filed under: uncultured Tundrisphaera sp.
Lineage: Bacteria; Pseudomonadati; Planctomycetota; Planctomycetia; Isosphaerales; Isosphaeraceae
Description: bacterial SSU rRNA
Rfam family: Bacterial small subunit ribosomal RNA
Source: RNAcentral
UCGAGAAUCUUCGGCAAUGGGCGCAAGCCUGACCGAGCGACGCCGCGUGGAGGACGAAGGCCUUCGGGUUGUAAACUCCUGUCGAGGGGGAGGAAGGGGCAACCUUGACCGAUCCCUGGAGGAAGCACGGGCUAAGUUCGUGCCAGCAGCCGCGGUAAGACGAACCGUGCGAACGUUAUUCGGAAUCACUGGGCUUAAAGCGCGUGUAGGCGGAUCGCCGCGUCGGCUGCUGAAAUCCCCCGGCUCAACCGGGGAACGGGCACCGAUACGGGCGGUCUCGAGGGGGGUAGGGGGGUCUGGAACUUCCGGUGGAGCGGUGAAAUGCGUUGAGAUCGGAAGGAACGCCCGUGGCGAAAGCGAGGCCCUGGACCCUUACUGACGCUGAGACGCGAAAGCCAGGGGAGCGAACG